RNAcentral lists this ribosomal RNA (446 nucleotides) under uncultured bacterium. RNAcentral's name for it is "partial 16S ribosomal RNA". It matches the Rfam family "Bacterial small subunit ribosomal RNA", at positions 338 to 795 of the family's 1533-position model. The record is from RNAcentral.
CCUACGGGUGGCAGCAGUCGAGAAUUAUUCACAAUGGGGGAAACCCUGAUGGUGCGACGCCGCGUGGGGGAAUGAAGGUCUUCGGAUUGUAAACCCCUGUCAUGUGGGAGCAAAUUAAAAAGAUAGUACCACAAGAGGAAGAGACGGCUAACUCUGUGCCAGCAGCCGUGGUAAUACAGAGGUCUCAAGCGUUGUUCGGAAUCACUGGGCGUAAGGCGUGCGUAGGCUGUUUCGUAAGUCGUGUGUGAAAGGCGCGGGCUCAACCCGCGGACGGCACAUGAUACUGCGAGACUAGAGUAAUGGAGGGGGAACCGGAAUUCUCGGUGUAGCAGUGAAAUGCGUAGAUAUCGAGAGGAACACUCGUGGCGAAGGCGGGUUCCUGGACAUUAACUGACGCUGAGGCACGAAGGCUAGGGGAGCGAAAGGGAUUAGAUACCCGGGUAGUC